UACAGAGGUCUCAAGCGUUGUUCGGAUUCAUUGGGCGUAAAGGGUGCGUAGGCGGCGCGGUAAGUCGGGUGUGAAAUCUCGGAGCUUAACUCCGAAACUGCAUUCGAUACUGCCGUGCUUGAGGACUGGAGAGGAGACUGGAAUUUACGGUGUAGCGGUGAAAUGCGUAGAUAUCGGGAGGAACACCGGUGGCGAAGGCGGCCCCCUGGUUGGAUACUGACGCUGAGACGCGAAAGCGUGGGGAGCGAACAGG
Molecule: ribosomal RNA, 253 nt
Filed under: uncultured bacterium
Lineage: Bacteria
Description: partial 16S ribosomal RNA
Rfam family: Bacterial small subunit ribosomal RNA
Source: RNAcentral